RNAcentral lists this ribosomal RNA (701 nucleotides) under Frondihabitans australicus. RNAcentral describes it as "bacterial SSU rRNA". It matches the Rfam family "Bacterial small subunit ribosomal RNA", at positions 28 to 749 of the family's 1533-position model. The record is from RNAcentral. Lineage: Bacteria; Bacillati; Actinomycetota; Actinomycetes; Micrococcales; Microbacteriaceae.
GGCAGGAGUCUGACAACGAUAAACACUGCAGUCGACGAUGACUGGAGCUUGCUCAGGGAUUAGUGGCGAACGGGUGAGUACACGUGAGUAACCUGCCCUUGACUCUGGGAUAAGCGUUGGAAACGACGUCUAAUACCGGAUAUGAACUGUGACGGCAUCGUCUGCAGUUGGAAAGAAUUUUGGUCAAGGAUGGACUCGCGGCCUAUCAGGUAGUUGGUGAGGUAAUGGCUCACCAAGCCGACGACGGGUAGCCGGCCUGAGAGGGUGACCGGCCACACUGGGACUGAGACACGGCCCAGACUCCUACGGGAGGCAGCAGUGGGGAAUAUUGCACAAUGGGCGAAAGCCUGAUGCAGCAACGCCGCGUGAGGGACGACGGCCUUCGGGUUGUAAACCUCUUUUAGUAGGGAAGAAGCGAAAGUGACGGUACCUGCAGAAAAAGCACCGGCUAACUACGUGCCAGCAGCCGCGGUAAUACGUAGGGUGCAAGCGUUGUCCGGAAUUAUUGGGCGUAAAGAGCUCGUAGGCGGUUUGUCGCGUCUGCUGUGAAAUCUGGGGGCUCAACCCCCAGCCUGCAGUGGGUACGGGCAGACUAGAGUGCGGUAGGGGAGAUUGGAAUUCCUGGUGUAGCGGUGGAAUGCGCAGAUAUCAGGAGGAACACCGAUGGCGAGAGCAGAUCUCUGGGCCGUAACUGACGCUAA